UGCGGCGGCCAUGGCCCAGGUGAGACGCCCGGUCCCAUUCCGAACCCGGAAGCUAAGGCCUGGCACGGCGAUGGUACUGCACCCGACAGGGUGUGGGAGAGUAGCAC
This 107-nucleotide ribosomal RNA is filed under the name Bifidobacterium breve. Lineage: Bacteria; Bacillati; Actinomycetota; Actinomycetes; Bifidobacteriales; Bifidobacteriaceae. The record is from RNAcentral.